UCCCUGGAGGACUAGUGGUUAGGCCUCUGUGCUCUCAUCACUGUGGCCAGGGUUCAAUUCCUGGCCAGGGAA
This 72-nucleotide transfer RNA is filed under the name Pangasianodon hypophthalmus (striped catfish). It matches the Rfam family "tRNA". Rfam says of the family: Transfer RNA (tRNA) molecules are approximately 80 nucleotides in length. Their secondary structure includes four short double-helical elements and three loops (D, anti-codon, and T loops). Further hydrogen bonds mediate the characteristic L-shaped molecular structure. tRNAs have two regions of fundamental functional importance: the anti-codon, which is responsible for specific mRNA codon recognition, and the 3' end, to which the tRNAs corresponding amino acid is attached (by aminoacyl-tRNA synthetases). tRNAs cope with the degeneracy of the genetic code in two manners: having more than one tRNA (with a specific anti-codon) for a particular amino acid; and 'wobble' base-pairing, i.e. permitting non-standard base-pairing at the 3rd anti-codon position. The record is from Rfam by way of RNAcentral. Lineage: Eukaryota; Metazoa; Chordata; Actinopteri; Siluriformes; Pangasiidae.